Molecule: ribosomal RNA, 745 nt
Filed under: uncultured Anaerococcus sp.
Lineage: Bacteria; Bacillati; Bacillota; Tissierellia; Tissierellales; Peptoniphilaceae
Description: bacterial SSU rRNA
Rfam family: Bacterial small subunit ribosomal RNA
Source: RNAcentral
GAUAAACGCUGGCGGCGUGCAUAACACAUGCAAGUCGAACGAUGAACCUUAUUAGAUUUCUUCGGAAUGAAAUUAAGCGGAUUAGUGGCGAACGGGUGAGUAACACGUGAGUAACCUGCCUUACACAAGGGGAUAGCCUUUGGAAACGAAGAAUAAUACCCUAUAAAGUCAAAAUAUCGCAUGAUAUAGUGACCAAAGAUUUAUCGGUGUAAGAUGGACUUGCGUCUGAUUAGCUAGUUGGUGAGAUAAAAGCCCACCAAGGCGACGAUCAGUAGCCGGCUUGAGAGAGUGUACGGCCACAUUGGGACUGAGACACGGCCCAAACUCCUACGGGAGGCAGCAGUGGGGAAUUUUGCACAAUGGGGGAAACCCUGAUGCAGCGACGCCGCGUGAUUUAGAAGGCCUUCGGGUUGUAAAAAUCUUUUUUAUGGGAUGAAAAUGACAGUACCAUAAGAAUAAGGUCCGGCUAAAUACGUGCCAGCAGCCGCGGUAAUACGUAUGGACCGAGCGUUGUCCGGAAUCAUUGGGCGUAAAGGGUACGUAGGCGGCCUAGUAAGUUAGAAGUGAAAUAAUAUAGCUCAACUAUAUAAAGCUUUUAAAACUGUUAGGCUUGAGAGAUGAAAGGGAAAGUGGAAUUCCUAGUGUAGCGGUGAAAUGCGCAGAUAUCAGGAAGAAUACCGGUGGCGAAGGCGACUUUCUGGUCAUCAUCUGACGCUGAGGUACGAAAGCGUGGGUAGCAAACAGG